RNAcentral lists this transfer RNA (55 nucleotides) under Steinernema glaseri. RNAcentral describes it as "tRNA-Thr". Lineage: Eukaryota; Metazoa; Nematoda; Chromadorea; Rhabditida; Steinernematidae. The record is from RNAcentral.
GCUAUUUUAGUUUAAUUAGAAUGUUUGAUUUGUAAUCAAGAGGUUUAUUGUAGCU